AUGUCACCGGCGACGUGUUUGCAGCUUGGUCAUAGGGACACUGGUCACCUGGUGUUCUAGCUUGGCCGUUGCCUCGCUGUGGCAGUGGAACGGAGAGAAGCACACCAGCUACCGGCUGCUUGCACAAAGCAUAUUUGGUCCCUGGGGCUACUGGUAUGUGUCAUUCUUCCAGCAAGUGGCGUCGGUUGGCAACAACAUUGCGAUCCAGAUUGCGGCCAGCAGCAGCCUCAGGCCGUGUACAAGCACUACUAUGCCACCGACCAUGGCGCGAUGACGCUGCAGCACUUCAUCCUCCUCUUCGGCGCGCUCGAGCUGCUUCUCUCCCAGCUUCCCGACAUCCAUUCGCUCCGGUGGGUGAAUGCUACCUGCACUGCCUCCACCAUUGGGUUUGCUGGGACAGCCAUCGGUGUCACGAUAUAUGACGGAUAUCGGAUUAACCGAAAUGAUGUUGGUUACAGUCUGCAAGGAAGCACCGCAACCAAGGUCUUCAGAGGUUUCAAUGCACUGGGCACAAUAGCCUUCUCAUUUGGUGAUGCAAUGCUGCCAGAAAUCCAGAGCACCGUGCGAGAACCGGCGACGACAAACAUGUACAAGGGUGUUUCGACGGCGUACACAUUGAUCGUCAUGUCCUACUGGACACUGGCAUUCAGUGGCUAUUGGGCAUUCGGCUCCGGAGUCCAGCCAUACAUCUUGUCCUCUCUGACUGUUCCAAGAUGGGCAAUUGUAAUGGCAAACAUAUUUGCAGUUGUUCAGAUCACAGGUUGCUUUCAGAUAUACUGCAGGCCGACAUAUGCGCACUUUGAAGAGCGCAUUCAGGCAAAGAAUAUGAUGCACAGAGCAUGGCUGUGGCGACUGAUGUACACCUCUGCAUACAUGGCGACGAUCACCCUCGUUGCCGCCGCAAUGCCAUUCUUUGGGGACUUUGUAUCAGUUUGUGGAGCGGUUGGGUUCACCCCACUGGACUUUGUGCUGCCAGCAUUGGCAUUUCUCAAGGCUGGGAAGCUGCCCAAGAACCUGGGACUGCGGCGUACUGUCAAGGCCCUUUGCUGCGCCGGCGCCGUCUUGUUCUCUGUCAUCGGGGUUCUUGCAUGCAUUGGCGCCAUCAGAGCAAUUGCGCUCGAUGUCAAGACCUACAAGUUCUUCCAUGACAUGUGA
Molecule: ribosomal RNA, 1155 nt
Filed under: Triticum aestivum (bread wheat)
Lineage: Eukaryota; Viridiplantae; Streptophyta; Magnoliopsida; Poales; Poaceae
Description: partial small subunit ribosomal RNA
Source: RNAcentral